Molecule: ribosomal RNA, 461 nt
Filed under: uncultured bacterium
Lineage: Bacteria
Description: SSU rRNA
Rfam family: Bacterial small subunit ribosomal RNA
Source: RNAcentral
AGGAUUAACGCUGGCGGCGUGCCUAACACAUGCAAGUCGAACGAGGUAGCAAUACCUAGUGGCAGACGGGUGAGUAGCGCGUGGUCAACCUACCGUUGAGUGGGGGAUAACUAGCCGAAAGGUUAGCUAAUACCGCAUACGUCUCCGAGGGGCAUCCCUUGGCGAUAAAAGGAGCAAUCCGCUCGAUGACGGGACCGCGUCCCAUUAGCUAGUUGGUGGGGUAACGGCCUACCAAGGCAUCGAUGGGUAGCUGGUUUGAGAGAGCGACCAGCCACACUGGGACUGAGAUACGGCCCAGACUCCUACGGGAGGCAGCAGUGAGGAAUUUUCCGCAAUGGGCGAAAGCCUGACGGAGCGACGCCGCGUGUGGGAAGAAGGCCUUCGGUCGUAAACCACUGUCGAAGGGAAGAUAAUGACGGUACCCUUGGAGGAAGCCCGGCUAACUACGUGCCAGCAGCCGC